This 497-nucleotide ribosomal RNA is filed under the name uncultured bacterium. RNAcentral describes it as "partial 16S ribosomal RNA". It matches the Rfam family "Bacterial small subunit ribosomal RNA", at positions 28 to 507 of the family's 1533-position model. The record is from RNAcentral.
GGUGAACGCUGGCGGCGUGCCUAAUACAUGCAAGUCGAGCGAACGGACGAGAAGCUUGCUUUUCUGAUGUUAGCGGCGGACGGGUGAGUAACACGUGGAUAACCUACCUAUAAGACUGGGAUAACUUCGGGAAACCGGAGCUAAUACCGGAUAAUAUUUUGAACCGCAUGGUUCAUAAGUGAAAGACGGUCUUGCUGUCACUUAUAGAUGGAUCCGCGCUGCAUUAGCUAGUUGGUAAGGUAACGGCUUACCAAGGCAACGAUGCAUAGCCGACCUGAGAAGGUGAUCGGCCACACUGGAACUGAGACACGGUCCAGACUCCUACGGGAGGCAGCAGUAGGGAAUCUUCCGCAAUGGGCGAAAGCCUGACGGAGCAACGCCGCGUGAGUGAUGAAGGUCUUCGGAUCGUAAAACUCUGUUAUUAGGGAAGAACAUAUGUGUAAGUAACUGUGCACAUCUUGACGGUACCUAAUCAGAAAGCCACGGCUAACUACGUG